RNAcentral lists this ribosomal RNA (387 nucleotides) under uncultured Chrysophyceae. Its description in RNAcentral is "SSU rRNA". It matches the Rfam family "Eukaryotic small subunit ribosomal RNA", at positions 585 to 972 of the family's 1831-position model. The record is from RNAcentral. Lineage: Eukaryota; Chrysophyceae.
CCAGCUCCAAUAGCGUAUACUAAAGUUGUUGCAGUUAAAAAGCUCGUAGUUGGAUUUCUGGUGUCGGCUCCUCGUCCUUCUCGCAAGAGUCGCGUACUGGGUCCUCGGCGCCAUCCUCGGGAAGACCGCGUCUUGCAUUCAUUUGCCGGGCGCGCGUAUCUCCCGUCUUUUACUGUGAGCAAACUAGAGUGUUCAAAGCAGGCUUACGCCGUUGAAUACAUUAGCAUGGAAUAAUAAGAUAUGACCUUGGUCAAUUUUGUUGGUUUAUACUCCAAGGUAAUGAUUAAUAGGGACAGUUGGGGGUAUUCGUAUUCAAUUGUCAGAGGUGAAAUUCUUGGAUUUAUGGAAGACGAACUACUGCGAAAGCAUUUACCAAGGAUGUUUUCA